UCCGUUGAGUAAAACCAAAAAUACAAAAUUGCUUAGUCAAAUUUCCUCAUUCAUUUUUUUCAUUCUUCGGUGUCUUUAAAUCUCCAUUCACAACAAACACAACUUCUUCAGAGCUUUUGUGCUCUUUUUAUUCUAGUUUAACAUUUCUUCACCUUCAUCCUUAAAGCUUCUUCCAUGAAGCAUUGGUAAACCCUAGGAAAAACUAGGUACCUUGUGGUUCAAUUUGAAGUCAAAUCAAACAAGUACAAUAUGUCAUUGCUCUUCUAUUUAAAGUUAUGCCCGAUUAAACAUGAAGUGGCUGACCAAAUAUAAGUUAUAUUUGAUAUUGGAUUUCAUAAAUGGAGGGCAUCUUUUCUUUCAUCUAUAUAGGCAGGGUAUCUUCAGGCUUUACGAGAAAAACAUAGUAUACUUGAUCUUCGAUGGUCUGCUCGAUUUCGAUAUGCAUCUAUAACUCCACUUGAGGUUGAUGGCUCAAUACACAAGUUUUUGAAGAGUGGUAGAGACCUCCAUGGCUCCUUGAUCGCUGCUAUCAUUCGAAAUUUGAAGAUAGUUAAGGUGUAAUUUGGUAGUAAGCCUUUUAAAGGGUUAUAAUGCAUUCAAGAGGGAUUUUUGAAAGACUGAUACAAAAAAUUUGUAUUGUCAUAUUUUUUGUAAUUUUGUAUAGAUGUCUAAUGACAAUGAUAAAAAAAUAAAAUUUAUGAUUCAUAGCAUAAAA
Long non-coding RNA from Gastrolobium bilobum, 715 nucleotides. RefSeq lists it as uncharacterized. NCBI's taxonomy places the organism in Eukaryota, Viridiplantae, Streptophyta, Magnoliopsida, Fabales, Fabaceae. The transcript is spliced from 5 exons. The record is from RefSeq and is a predicted model, not a curated record.